RNAcentral lists this ribosomal RNA (480 nucleotides) under Baronia brevicornis. RNAcentral describes it as "partial 16S ribosomal RNA". Lineage: Eukaryota; Metazoa; Arthropoda; Insecta; Lepidoptera; Papilionidae. The record is from RNAcentral.
UUUUUGUAAAUAAUUUAAAGUCUAAUCUGCCCACUGAUUUAUUAAAGGGCUGCAGUAUAUUGACUGUACAAAGGUAGCAUAAUCAUUAGUCUCUUAAUUAGUGACUUGUAUGAAGGAUUUGAUGAAAUAUAAACUGUCUCUUUUUAAUUUAUAAAAUUUAAUUUUUUAGUAAAAAAGCUAAAAUUUUAUUAAAAGACGAGAAGACCCUAUAGAGUUUUAUAUUUUAAUAAAUUAAAAUUUUUUAUAAAAUUUAAAAUUUUAAUUUAUUAAUAUAUUUUAUUGGGGUGAUAGAAAAAUUAAUAUAACUUUUUAUAAAUUUUAACAUUUAUUUAUGAUUAUAUGAUCCGUAAAUUACGAUUAUAAGAAAAAAUUACCUUAGGGAUAACAGCGUAAUUUUUUUUUUUAGUUCAAAUAAGAAAAAAAGUUUGCGACCUCGAUGUUGGAUUAAGAUAAAAUUUAAAUGCAAAAGUUUAAAAUUUU